RNAcentral lists this ribosomal RNA (120 nucleotides) under Citrobacter freundii. The record is from RNAcentral. Lineage: Bacteria; Pseudomonadati; Pseudomonadota; Gammaproteobacteria; Enterobacterales; Enterobacteriaceae.
UGUCUGGCGGCUGUAGCGCGGUGGUCCCACCUGACCCCAUGCCGAACUCAGAAGUGAAACGCCGUAGCGCCGAUGAUAGUGUGGGGUCUCCCCAUGCGAGAGUAGGGAACUGCCAGACAU